CAAUAGCGUAUAUUAAAGCUGUUGCGGUUAAAAAGCUCGUAGUUGGAUUUCUGUCAAGGACAACUGGUCCGCCCUCCGGGUGAGCACAUAGUUUGGUCUUGGCAUCUUGCUGGAAACUGUUGCUGCACUUGGUUGUGUGGCGCAGCAUCCAGCACUUUCACUUUGAGGAAAUUGGAGUGUUUCAAGCAGGCACAUGCCUUUGGACACAGUAGCAUGGAAUAAUUAGAUUGGGCUUUUGCUCCAAUUUGUCGGUUUCUGGAGCUGAGGUGAGAAUUAAUGGGGAUUGUUGGGGGCAUCCGAAUUUAGCCGUCAGAGGUGAAAUUCUUUGAUUAGUUGAGGACGAACUAUUGCGAAAGCAUCUGCCAAGGACGUUUNCUUUG
Molecule: ribosomal RNA, 380 nt
Filed under: uncultured eukaryote
Lineage: Eukaryota
Description: partial 18S ribosomal RNA
Rfam family: Eukaryotic small subunit ribosomal RNA
Source: RNAcentral